Molecule: long non-coding RNA, 201 nt
Filed under: Capsicum annuum
Lineage: Eukaryota; Viridiplantae; Streptophyta; Magnoliopsida; Solanales; Solanaceae
Description: long non-coding RNA (CANN_LNC015384)
Source: RNAcentral
CCCGGUGAGUCUGGAGGAAUAUAUGAUAUUAUGAUGAUGCCCUGUGAGUUCGGAGGAAUAGGUAAUAUUAUUAUGAUGCCCGGUGAAUCUAGAGGAAUAGGUAAUAUUAUGAUGAUGCCCAAUGAAUCUGGAGGAAUAUGUGAUAUUAUGAUGAUGCCCGAUGAAUCUAGAAGCAUAUAUUGAUAUUAUGAUAAUGCCCAC